CGACAAUGUUUACAAGCAGUUUUAUUAACGUAUUUCUGUGGUUGAAACACCGAUUGAGUGAUUACAUGAGAUACAUGAUAGGGAUUUCGGCCUACCAUAGUAAAGAGGAAGUAGGCCUACACUCCAGGUGAUUUCUCGCCCACGUUAAAGAGCACCAAAAAACGGAGCGCCCCUCGGAAACUUGUGGAUUCGCUGUGAUCGCAUAAUCAACAGGCUGCGAUGUCAAGAUUGC
Pimephales promelas (fathead minnow) is the source of this 232-nucleotide long non-coding RNA. RefSeq lists it as uncharacterized. The record is from RefSeq and is a predicted model, not a curated record. Lineage: Eukaryota; Metazoa; Chordata; Actinopteri; Cypriniformes; Leuciscidae.